GUCAUGGUUCCCUGCUGAAGUCUAAGGAACUCCAUCUCCUUUUGAUCUCUCACAGCUGCCGGGAAGAAUUUCUCUUCUACAAGUUCCUUAAACCUUUCCCAAGUUAUAGCCUGUUCUUCAGCAGGUGUUAAUGACCUAGUAGUCAUGUCCCACCAAUGGCUAGCCCCCUUCUUUAACAUAAACACUGAAAAUGUUACCCUUUCAGCAUCGUCACAUCUUAUAAAUUUAAAGAUGCGUUCUAAUUCUCGUAACCAAUCCUCAACUGCUAAGGGAUCCGUACUCCCCUCAAACGAUGGAGGGUUCAUUUUACGAAACUGCUCUAUCAUUGCAGUUCGAUCCCUCGAGUUAGGUACUAUUUGAGGUUGAAUAAUUGGUUGGUUAGGUUCCUGAUGAUCAAC
This 398-nucleotide long non-coding RNA is filed under the name Olea europaea (common olive). RNAcentral describes it as "long non-coding RNA (OEUR_LNC010168)". Lineage: Eukaryota; Viridiplantae; Streptophyta; Magnoliopsida; Lamiales; Oleaceae. The record is from RNAcentral.